This 504-nucleotide ribosomal RNA is filed under the name uncultured bacterium. RNAcentral describes it as "partial 16S ribosomal RNA". It matches the Rfam family "Bacterial small subunit ribosomal RNA", at positions 28 to 523 of the family's 1533-position model. The record is from RNAcentral.
GAUGAACGCUAGCGGCAGGCUUAAUACAUGCAAGUCGAGGGGCAGCAGCUUUAUAGCAAUAUAGAGGCUGGCGACCGGCAAACGGGUGCGGAACACGUACACAACCUCCCUGUAAGAGGGGGAUAGCCCAUGGAAAUGAUGAUUAAUACCCCGUAACAUUGAGGUGUGGCAUCCGACUGGUAUUAUAGUUUCGACGCAUGAAGAUGGGUGUGCGGCGGAUUAGGUGGUUGGCGGGGUAGAGGACCACCAAGCCUUCGAUCAGUAGCUGAUGUGGGAGCAUGAUAAGCCAAACGGGUACUGAGACACGGGCCCGACUCCUACGGGAGGCAGCAGUAAGGAAUAUUGGUCAAUGGAAGCAAGUCUGAACCAGCCAUGCUGCGUGAAGGAUGAAGGUCCUCUGGAUUGUAAACUUCUUUUAUAGGGGGCGAAAAAAGGGAAUUCUUUCUCACUUGACAGUACCCUAUGAAUAAGCACCGGCUAACUCCGUGCCAGCAGCCGCAGUAA